CAAUAGCUACUUGCAUCAUUGUAAAUAUGAUGCAAGAUCGACUAUGUCGAAUAAAAUUCUAGGUAGAAUUAUGAUAAUGACAUUGUCUGCCUAUGUGUCUUGACCAAAUUACGUGCCAGCAGUCGCGGUAAUACGUAGAAGACUAGUGUUAUUCAUGUUUAAUCGGUUUAAAGGGUACCUAGACGGUAAAUCAAGCCUAAAAGGAAAUAAAUGAAGGGACUAAUUUACUAGAGUUACUUAUGAGGGGGUAUUAAAGUACUGCUGGUGUAGAGAUGAAAUUCUGUCAUACCUCUUUUCAAUAGAAAAAUAAUGGCACAGGUAUAGGCGAAAGCAUCCCCUUAUGUGAUAACUGACGUUGAGGGACGAAGGCUUUGUGUAGCGAACAGGAUUAGAUACCCCAGUAGUCAAAGCAGAAAAUGAUGAAUGUCAUAGAUUAGAUAUAUAAGUUUAUUCUAUAAAUGAAAGUGUAAGCAUUCCACCUCAAGAGUAAUUUGGCAACAUUGGAACUGAAAUCAUUAGACCGUUUCUGAAACCAGUAGUGAAGUAUGUUGUUUAAUUUGAUGAUCCGCAAAAAACCUUACCACAAUUUGAAUAUUUAUAUCUUUUAUUGUUUUUCUUUUUAACUUUAUUCUUAUUUUCUACUUAAAAGAAAACAAUGACAAGAAAAAAGAGGCAAUAAGAU
Molecule: ribosomal RNA, 682 nt
Filed under: Cetrariella fastigiata
Lineage: Eukaryota; Fungi; Ascomycota; Lecanoromycetes; Lecanorales; Parmeliaceae
Description: SSU rRNA
Rfam family: Bacterial small subunit ribosomal RNA
Source: RNAcentral